RNAcentral lists this ribosomal RNA (447 nucleotides) under uncultured bacterium. RNAcentral describes it as "bacterial SSU rRNA". It matches the Rfam family "Bacterial small subunit ribosomal RNA", at positions 28 to 458 of the family's 1533-position model. The record is from RNAcentral.
GACGAACGCUGGCGGCGUGCUUAACACAUGCAAGUCGAACGUGAUUUUUGUGGAAAUUCUUUCGGGAAUGGAAAUGAAAUGAAAGUGGCGAACGGGUGAGUAACACGUGAGCAACCUACCUUACACAGGGGGAUAGCCGUUGGAAACGACGAUUAAUACCGCAUGAGACCACAGAAUCGCAUGAUAUAGGGGUCAAAGAUUUAUCGGUGUAAGAAGGGCUCGCGUCUGAUUAGCUAGUUGGAAGGGUAAAGGCCUACCAAGGCGACGAUCAGUAGCCGGUCUGAGAGGAUGAACGGCCACAUUGGAACUGAGACACGGUCCAAACUCCUACGGGAGGCAGCAGUGGGGAAUAUUGCACAAUGGGGGGAACCCUGAUGCAGCGACGCCGCGUGAGNGAAGAAGGUUUUCGAAUCGUAAAGCUCUGUCCUANGAGAAGAUAANGACGGU